RNAcentral lists this ribosomal RNA (905 nucleotides) under uncultured bacterium. RNAcentral describes it as "bacterial SSU rRNA". It matches the Rfam family "Bacterial small subunit ribosomal RNA", at positions 8 to 864 of the family's 1533-position model. The record is from RNAcentral.
AGAGUUUGAUCCUGCGCUCAGGAUGAACGCUGGCGGCGUGCCUAAUACAUGCAAGUCGAACGCUUUGUGGUCCAACUGAUUUGAAGAGCUUGCUCGGAUAUGACGAUGGACAUUGCAAAGAGUGGCGAACGGGUGAGUAACACGUGGGAAACCUACCUCUUGGCAGGGGAUAACACUUGGAAACAAGUGCUAAUACCGUAUAACACUAAUAACCGCAUGGUUAUUAGUUAAAAGAUGGUCUUGCUAUCACUAAGAGAUGGUCCCGCGGUGUAUUAGCUAGUUGGUAAGGUAAUGGCUUACCAAGGCAAUGACACAUAGCCGAGUUGAGAGACUGAUCGGCCACAAUGGGACUGAGACACGGCCCAUACUCCUACGGGAGGCAGCAGUAGGGAAUCUUCCACAAUGGACGAAAGUCUGAUGGAGCAACGCCGCGUGUGUGAUGAAGGGUUUCGGCUCGUAAAACACUGUUGUAAGAGAAGAAUGACAUUGAGAGUAACUGUUCAGUGUGUGACGGUAUCUUACCAGAAAGGAACGGCUAAAUACGUGCCAGCAGCCGCGGUAAUACGUAUGUUCCAAGCGUUAUCCGGAUUUAUUGGGCGUAAAGCGAGCGCAGACGGUUAUUUAAGUCCGAAGUGAAAGCCCACAGCUUAACUGUGGAAGUGCUUUGGAAACUGGAUAAACUUGAGUGCAGUAGAGGAGAGUGGAACUCCAUGUGUAGCGGUGAAAUGCGUAGAUGUAUGGAAGAACACCAGUGGCGAACGCGGCUCUCUGGACUGUAACUGACGUGAGGCUCGAAAGUGUGGGUAGCAACAGGAUUAGAUACCCUGGUAGUCCACACCGUAAACGAUGAGUGGCUAAAUGGUUUGAGGGUUUCCGCUCCUAAGUGUCGCAGCUAUCGCAUUAAG